CCUAACACAUGCAAGUCGAGCGGUAGAGAGGUGCUUGCAUCUCUUGAGAGCGGCGGACGGGUGAGUAAUGCCGUAGGAAUCUGCUAGUGGUGGGGAUAACGUUCGGAAACGGACGCUAAUACCGCAUACGGUCCUACGGGAGAAAGCGGGGGAUCUUCGGACCUCGCGCCAUUAGAUGAGCCUAGGUCGGAUUAGCUAGUUGGUGAGGUAAUGGCUCACCAAGGCGACGAUCCGUAACUGGUCUGAGAGGAUGAUCAGUCACACUGGAACUGAGACACGGUCCAGACUCCUACGGGAGGCAGCAGUGGGGAAUAUUGGACAAUGGGCGAAAGCCUGAUCCAGCCAUGCCGCGUGUGUGAAGAAGGUCUUCGGAUUGUAAAGCACUUUAAGUUGGGAGGAAGGGUAGUAACCUAAUACGUUGCUACUUUGACGUUACCGACAGAAUAAGCACCGGCUAACUUCGUG
Molecule: ribosomal RNA, 465 nt
Filed under: uncultured bacterium
Lineage: Bacteria
Description: bacterial SSU rRNA
Rfam family: Bacterial small subunit ribosomal RNA
Source: RNAcentral